CUCCUACGGGAGGCAGCAGUAGGGAAUCUUCCGCAAUGGGCGCAAGCCUGACGGAGCAACGCCGCGUGAGUGAGGAAGGCCUUCGGGUUGUAAAACUCGGUCACCUGGGAAGAGAGGUAUGGGGAGUGGAAUGCCCCAUACGAGGCGGUACCAGGGGAGGAAGCCCCGGCUAACUACGUGCCAGCAGCCGCGGUAAUACGUAGGGGGCAAGCGUUGUCCGGAAUCACUGGGCGUAAAGCGUGCGUAGGCGGUCUUUCAAGUCCGGGGUGAAAACUCAAGGCUCAACCUUGAGAAUGCCUUGGAAACUGGGGGACUUGAGUACUGGAGAGGCAAGGGGAAUUCCACGUGUAGCGGUGAAAUGCGUAGAGAUGUGGAGGAAUACCAGUGGCGAAGGCGCCUUGCUGGACAGUGACUGACGCUGAGGCACGAAAGCGUGGGGAGCAAACAGGAUUAGAUACCCUGGUAGUCCACGCUGUAAACGAUGAGUGCUAGGUGUUGGGGGUUCAUCCCCUCAGUGCCGAAGGAAACCCAAUAAGCACUCCGCCUGGGGAGUACGGUCGCAAGACUGAAACUCAAAGGAAUUGACGGGGGCCCGCACAAGCAGUGGAGCAUGUGGUUUAAUUCGAAGCAACGCGAAGAACCUUACCAGGGCUUGACAUCCCUCUGACCGGUUCAGAGAUGGGCCUUCCCUUCGGGGCAGAGGAGACAGGUGGUGCAUGGUUGUCGUCAGCUCGUGUCGUGAGAUGUUGGGUUAAGUCCCGCAACGAGCGCAACCCUUGACCUGUGUUACCAGCACGUAAUGGUGGGGACUCACAGGUGACUGCCGGCGUAAGUCGGAGGAAGGUGGAGAUGACGUCAAAUCAUCAUGCCCUUUAUGUCCUGGGCUACACACGUGCUACAAUGGGCGGUACAACGGGAAGCGAGACCGCGAGGUGGAGCGAAACCCAAAAAGCCGUUCGUAGUUCGGAUUGCAGGCUGCAACCCGCCUGCAUGAAGCCGGAAUUGCUAGUAAUCGCGGAUCAGCAUGCCGCGGUGAAUCCGUUCCCGGGCCUUGCACACACCGCCCGU
This 1068-nucleotide ribosomal RNA is filed under the name Alicyclobacillus sp. enrichment culture clone MRT18-27. RNAcentral's name for it is "bacterial SSU rRNA". It matches the Rfam family "Bacterial small subunit ribosomal RNA", at positions 336 to 1397 of the family's 1533-position model. The record is from RNAcentral. Lineage: Bacteria; Bacillati; Bacillota; Bacilli; Caryophanales; Alicyclobacillaceae.